Molecule: ribosomal RNA, 460 nt
Filed under: uncultured bacterium
Lineage: Bacteria
Description: partial 16S ribosomal RNA
Rfam family: Bacterial small subunit ribosomal RNA
Source: RNAcentral
CCUACGGGGAGCAGCAGUGAGGAAUAUUGGUCAAUGGACGAGAGUCUGAACCAGCCAAGUAGCGUGAAGGAUGACUGCCCUAUGGGUUGUAAACUUCUUUUAUAUGGGAAUAAAACGUUCCACGUGUGGGAUUUUGUAUGUACCAUAUGAAUAAGGAUCGGCUAACUCCGUGCCAGCAGCCGCGGUAAUACUGAGGAUCCGAGCGUUAUCCGGAUUUAUUGGGUUUAAAGGGAGCGUAGGUGGAUUGUUAAGUCAGUUGUGAAAGUUUGCGGCUCAACCGUAAAAUUGCAGUUGAAACUGGCAGUCUUGAGUACAGUAGAGGUGGGCGGAAUUCGUGGUGUAGCGGUGAAAUGCUUAGAUAUCACGAAGAACUCCGAUUGUGAAGGCAGUUCACUGGACUGCAACUGACACUGAGGCUCGAAAGUGUGGGUAUCAAACAGGAUUAGAUACCCUAGUAGUC